Molecule: long non-coding RNA, 815 nt
Organism: Portunus trituberculatus (swimming crab)
Lineage: Eukaryota; Metazoa; Arthropoda; Malacostraca; Decapoda; Portunidae
Exons: 2
Source: RefSeq, a predicted model, not a curated record
GACCGCCCCAAAGAUCCGCUGAAGCGUCUGCUCUUCAAUAUAUCGAAACAGCCUCUCUGCCUGCUGCCAACGCUUUUCCGUAGAUGUCCGGAGCUGUCGAUACUGAGGCCUGUCUCAGGAGAGAUCUUAGGACACUGUAGCAUUAAGAUCAUAUCGCUCCGGAGCUAGGCCUUUGGAUCGGCAACCCCUGUCCUCUGCACGUGUUGCCGAUCCAAAGUCCUGAUUUCGGAGCGAUCCCGAGCCACCUGUAGCAUCUAAGACCAUAUCGCUCCGGAGCUAGGCCUUUGGAUCGUCAACUCCUGUCCUCUGCACGUGUUGCCGAUCCAAAGGCCUGAUUUCGGAGCGAUCCCGAGCCACCUGUAGCAUCGAGAUCAAGUUGAAGAUCUUCAUAAGCCAGGGGGUUCUUAACCUACCCUUUUUCUCGUUUAGAACCCUCUGAAUUAUAAGACUACCUACCGGAACCACGAGUGAUCUGACCCAGAACAGAAUGUUGAUUCUGACAUCGAACAUGUGUUAAUCUAGUGACUGACACUAUAUGUAAUGGUAAUGCAGAAAUAUAUUAUUGGAGUAGCCAUCUACGUCCUCCUGGAAGUUAUCUUUUGGAACCCCAGGUUGAGAAUACUGUCAUACAUUAUGCUGUUUUACGUGUAUGUCUUCUUCAUAUCCAAGUUUUAGAAAACGCGAUAUUGAGAUUAUCAUUGAAUCUGUUAUUGUUUGCUGUUACAUUCCUUUGCUCUUAAGUUCCUUAUCUAUUCAUCACAGUUUUUGUACCUGUACUAUGGAAGUGUAUAAAAUAUAUAUUCCUUAUCUGUUCA